This 481-nucleotide ribosomal RNA is filed under the name uncultured bacterium. Its description in RNAcentral is "bacterial SSU rRNA". It matches the Rfam family "Bacterial small subunit ribosomal RNA", at positions 30 to 506 of the family's 1533-position model. The record is from RNAcentral.
UUGAACGCUGGCGGCAUGCCUAACACAUGCAAGUCGAACGAGAGUAGAGGGGCAACUCUUUACUUGAGUGGCGGACGGGUGAGUAAUACGUAGGAAUCUGCCCUAGAGUGGGGGACAACCCGAGGAAACUCGGGCUAAUACCGCAUAAUCUCUACGGAGGAAAGCAGGGGAUCGCAAGACCUUGCGCUUUAGGAGGAGCCUACGUCGGAUUAGCUAGUUGGUAGGGUAAAGGCCUACCAAGGCAAUGAUCCGUAGCUGGUCUGAGAGGACGACCAGCCACACUGGGACUGAGACACGGCCCAGACUCCUACGGGAGGCAGCAGUGGGGAAUAUUGGACAAUGGGGGAAACCCUGAUCCAGCAAUGCCGCGUGUGUGAAGAAGGCCUUCGGGUUGUAAAGCACUUUUAGUGGGGAAGAAAACCUCAAAGCUAAUAUCUUUGAGUUUGACGUUACCCACAGAAAAAGCACCGGCUAACUCUGU